UCGCGAAAACUUCACAAUGGGGGCAACCCCGAUGAGGGAAUUCCUAGUGCUAGCACAUUUGUGUUAGCUUUUCUUUAGCUUAGAAAACUAGAGGAAUAAGGGCUGGGUAAGACGGGUGCCAGCCGCCGCGGUAAUACCUGCAGCCCAAGUGGUGGUCGAUUUUAUUGAGUCUAAAACGUUCGUAGCCGGUUCGGUAAAUCUUUGGGUAAAUCGGGGGGCUUAACCUUCCGACUUCCGAGGAGACUGCCGAACUUGGGACCGGGAGAGGCUAGAGGUACUUCUGGGGUAGGGGUAAAAUCCUGUAAUCCUAGAAGGACCACCGGUGGCGAAGGCGUCUAGCUAGAACGGAUCCGACGGUGAGGGACGAAGCCCUGGGUCGCAAACGGGAUUAGAUACCCCGGUAGUCCAGGGUGUAAACGCUGCAGGCUUGGUGUUGGGGGUCCUUCGGGGGCGCCCAGUGCCGGAGAGAAGUUGUUAAGCCUGCUACUUGGGGAGUACGUCCGCAAGGAUGAAACUUAAAGGAAUUGGCGGGGGAGCACCGCAACGGGAGGAGCGUGCGGUUUAAUUGGAUUCAACACCGGAAAACUCACCAGGAGCGACGGUUACAUGAAAGUCAGGCUGAUGACCUUACUAGAUUUUCC
RNAcentral lists this ribosomal RNA (641 nucleotides) under uncultured euryarchaeote. RNAcentral describes it as "bacterial SSU rRNA". It matches the Rfam family "Archaeal small subunit ribosomal RNA", at positions 339 to 981 of the family's 1478-position model. Lineage: Archaea; Methanobacteriati; Methanobacteriota. The record is from RNAcentral.